This is a non-coding RNA of Podarcis lilfordi (Lilford's wall lizard), 85 nucleotides long. The record is from the annotation of a GenBank genome assembly. Lineage: Eukaryota; Metazoa; Chordata; Lepidosauria; Squamata; Lacertidae.
GCAAGUGGAUAGCUCAGUUGGUUAGAGCGUGGUGCUGAUGAUAACGCCAAGGUUGCUGGUUUGAUCCCCGUAUGGGACCUCUGCA